This 74-nucleotide transfer RNA is filed under the name Coprococcus eutactus. RNAcentral's name for it is "tRNA-Asp". It matches the Rfam family "tRNA". From Rfam's summary of the family: Transfer RNA (tRNA) molecules are approximately 80 nucleotides in length. Their secondary structure includes four short double-helical elements and three loops (D, anti-codon, and T loops). The record is from RNAcentral. RNAcentral also lists the same sequence under 1 other name. Lineage: Bacteria; Bacillati; Bacillota; Clostridia; Lachnospirales; Lachnospiraceae.
GGCCUGGUAGCUCAGCUGGUUAGAGCGCCGCCCUGUCACGGCGGAGGUCGUGGGUUCGAACCCCAUCCAGGUCG